UUGGAAGUUAGAUAGAGAAAGGGUAAACAAACUUGGAAGUUAGAUAGAGAAAGGGUAAACAAACUUGGAAGUUAGAUAGAGAAAGGGUAAACAAACGUGGAAGUUAGAUAGAGAAAGGGUAAACAAACGUGGAAGUUAGAUAGAGAAAGGGUAAACAAACGUGGAAGUUAGAUAGAGAAAGGGUAAACAAACGUGGAAGUUAGAUAGAGAAAGGGUAAACAAACUUGGAAGUUAGAUAGAGAAAGGGUAAACAAACGUGGAAGUUAGAUAGAGAAAGGGUAAACAAA
Molecule: long non-coding RNA, 287 nt
Organism: Mytilus californianus (California mussel)
Lineage: Eukaryota; Metazoa; Mollusca; Bivalvia; Mytilida; Mytilidae
Exons: 2
Source: RefSeq, a predicted model, not a curated record